UGAGGAAUAUUGGACAAUGGAUGGAAAUCUGAUCCAGCCAUGCCGCGUGCAGGAAGAAUGUCCUAUGGACUGUAAACUGCUUUUGUAUGGGAGCAAUAAGGUAUUCGUGAAUACCGAUGAGAGUACCAUACGAAUAAGCACCGGCUAACUCCGUGCCAGCAGCCGCGGUAAUACGGAGGGUGCAAGCGUUAUCCGGGAUUUAUUGGGUUUAAAGGGUGCGUAGGCGGUUAUAUAAGUCAGCGGUGAAAUUUUUCGGCUCAACCGGAAACAUGCCGUUGAUACUGUAUAGCUUGAAUAUGGUUGCUGUGAGUGGAAUGUGUAGUGUAGCGGUGAAAUGCUUAGAUAUUACACAGAAUAUCGAUUGCAAAGGCAACUCACAAAGCCAAUAUUGACGCUGAGG
Molecule: ribosomal RNA, 400 nt
Filed under: uncultured bacterium
Lineage: Bacteria
Description: bacterial SSU rRNA
Rfam family: Bacterial small subunit ribosomal RNA
Source: RNAcentral